Non-coding RNA from Zonotrichia albicollis (white-throated sparrow), 1632 nucleotides. The record is from RefSeq and is a predicted model, not a curated record. Lineage: Eukaryota; Metazoa; Chordata; Aves; Passeriformes; Passerellidae.
AGGACAACGUGGUGACUCCGUAAAACAUCUCAAUGUUGGUCUGAGGACAUCACGAGGAGCUUCAAAGUCACUGGACUUCUGUAGGACAGUAUGGUGACCCCACAGAACAUCUCCAGGAGGUGCUGAGGUGAUCACAAGGGGCUCCAAAGUCACUGGAGGUCUGUAGGACACCGUGGUGACUCCAUAGAACAUCUCAAAGUUGGACUGAGGUGAUUGUGAGGAGCUUCAAAGUCACUGGAGGUCUGUAGGAGAACAUGGUGACCCCAUAGAACAUCUCAGAGUUGGACUGAGGUUGUCAGGAGGGGUUCCAGAGUCCCUGGAGGUGUGUAGGACACUGUGGUGACUCCAUGAAACAUCUCAAAGUUGGACUGAGGUGGUUGUGAGGGCCACCAAAGUCACUAGAGGUCUGUAGAACACUGUGGUGACUCCGUAAAACAUCUCAAAGUUGGACUGAGGACAUCAUGAAGAGCUUCAAAGUCACUGGAGGUCUGUAGGACAGUAUGGUGACCCCAUAGAACAUCUCAGAGUUGGACUGAGGUUGUCAGGAGGGGUUCCAGAGUCACUGGAGGUCUGUAGGACACUGUGGUGACUCCAUAAAACAUCUCAAAGUUGGACUCAUGUCCAGGAGGUGCUGAGGUUAUCACAAGGGGCUCCAAAGUCAUUGGAGGUCUGUAGGAGAACAUGGUGACCCCAUAGAACAUCUCAAAGAGGUUCUGAGGUUGUCAGGAGGGGUUCCAGAGUCACUGGAGGUCUGUAGGACACUGUGGUGACUCCAUGAAACAUCUCAAAGUUGGUCUGAGGACAUCACAAGGAGCUUCAAAGUCACUGGAGGUCUGUAGGAGAACAUGGUGACCCCAUAGAACAUCUCAAAGAGGUUCUGAGGUUAUCACAGAGGGGCUCCAAAGUCACUGGAGGUCUGUAGGACACCGUGGUGACCCCAUAGAACAUCUCAAAGUUGGACUCAUGUCCAGGAGGUGCUGAGGUUAUCACAAGAGGCUCCAAAGUCACUGGAGGUCUGUAGGACACUGUGGUGACUCCAUAAAACAUCUCAGAGUUGGACUGAGGUUGUCAGGAGGGGUUCCAGAGUCACUGGAGGUCUGUAGGAGAACAUGGUGACCCCAUAGAACAUCUCAAAGAGGUUCUGAGGUUAUCACAAGGGGCUCCAAAGUCACUGGAGGUGUGUAGGACACUGUGGUGACUCCAUGAAACAUCUCAAAGUUGGACUGAGGUGAUUGUGAGGGCCUCCAAAGUCACUGGAGGUCUGUAGGAGAACAUGGUGACCCCAUAGAACAUCUCAGAGAGGUUCUGAGGUUGUCAGGAGGGGCUCCAGAGUCACUGGAGGUCUGUAGGACACUGUGGUGACUCCAUAAAACAUCUCAAAGUUGGACUGAGGUGAUUGUGAGGGGCUCCAAAGUCACUGGAGGUCUGUAGGAGAACAUGGUGACCCCAUAGAACAUCUCAGAGAGGUUCUGAGGUUAUCACAAGGGGCUCCAAAGUCACUGGAGGUCUGUAGGACACUGUGGUGACUCCAUAAAACAUCUCAAAGUUGGUCUGAGGACAUCACGAGGAGCUUCCAAGUCACUUUCAGUCUGUAGGACAGUAUGGUGACCCCAUAGAACAUCUCAAAGAGGU